CUAAUACAUGCAAGUCGAGCGCGGGAAGCCGGACAGAUCCCUUCGGGGUGACGACCGGUGGAACGAGCGGCGGAUGGGUGAGUAACACGUGGGCAACCUGCCUGUAAGCCUGGGAUAACUCGCGGAAACGCGAGCUAAUACCGGAUGCGCCUUUUGUUCGCAUGAACGAAAGGUAAAAGGCGGCUUUUGCUGUCACUUACAGAUGGGCCCGCGGCGCAUUAGCUAGUUGGUGAGGUAACGGCUCACCAAAGCGACGAUGCGUAGCCGACCUGAGAGGGUGAUCGGCCACACUGGGACUGAGACACGGCCCAGACUCCUACGGGAGGCAGCAGUAGGGAAUCUUCCGCAAUGGACGAAAGUCUGACGGAGCAACGCCGCGUGAGUGAUGAAGGUCUUCGGAUCGUAAAACUCUGUUGUUAGGGAAGAACAAGUAUAAGGCGAAUAACCUUAUACCUUGACGGUACCUAACCAGAAAGCCCCGGCUAACUACGUGCCAGCAGCCGCGGUAAUACGUAGGGGGCGAGCGUUGUCCGGAAUUAUUGGGCGUAAAGGGUGCGUAGGCGGUCUUCUAAGUCUGAUGUGAAAGCCCCCGGCUUAACCGGGGAGGGUCAUUGGAAACUGGAAGACUUGAGUGCAGAAGAGGAGAGCGGAAUUCCACGUGUAGCGGUGAAAUGCGUAGAGAUGUGGAGGAACACCCAGUGGCGAAGGCGG
Molecule: ribosomal RNA, 711 nt
Filed under: uncultured bacterium
Lineage: Bacteria
Description: bacterial SSU rRNA
Rfam family: Bacterial small subunit ribosomal RNA
Source: RNAcentral